UGUCUUGUGACACAGGAAAUUGGUUACACACCGUUUUACACAAUUUCUUGCUUCAUCGCUUGCUAAGUCAGCAGGAUGAGGCUAAAACAGCAGAAGGGAUUUACACAAUAUGUUCUAUGGAAUCAUUCUCAAUGGUUAAACCUCAGGCACGUCAUAUAAAACCAAUCAUCACUUCCAUUCAGGGUCAGUAGCUGACAGCUGUUUCACAGUCUGCUAAGUCCAGGUAUCAGUGCUAGCAUCGCGAUGGGAUGAAUGGUAUCAGAACAUCUGUAAUGGAAAGAUCAGCAGCUUGGUGUGUGGGGGAAUCUCGUCCUUGGUGGAGGUCUCACUCUGCUGCUCAAUAAUAAUCUGCAGGAAUCGCAGAAAGACUUUACAUUGUGGACACAAGGUCAUUAGCUCAGGAAACUCUGCAGCGGUCAUCAGCUGAUUUGACACGGAAAACACAUCAGACACAACAGUUUACCUCAACUGUUACUGGCGCCGCAUCAGCAGCUUCCACGAAGCCGAAGACAAUGGACACGCAGGAGGAUGCACUCACUAAACUCUGAGAACAAUCCAUUAGCUAUUAUGGGACUAUUAGCUUUGGCAGAUGGAGAGCGAGAGGAUGC
Pleuronectes platessa (European plaice) is the source of this 608-nucleotide long non-coding RNA. RefSeq lists it as uncharacterized. The transcript has 3 exons. Lineage: Eukaryota; Metazoa; Chordata; Actinopteri; Pleuronectiformes; Pleuronectidae. The record is from RefSeq and is a predicted model, not a curated record.